This 276-nucleotide ribosomal RNA is filed under the name Acinetobacter baumannii. RNAcentral's name for it is "partial 23S ribosomal RNA". It matches the Rfam family "Bacterial large subunit ribosomal RNA", at positions 2655 to 2925 of the family's 2925-position model. The record is from RNAcentral. Lineage: Bacteria; Pseudomonadati; Pseudomonadota; Gammaproteobacteria; Moraxellales; Moraxellaceae.
UGGAAAUUUGAGAGGAUCUGCUCCUAGUACGAGAGGACCAGAGUGGACGAACCUCUGGUGUACCGGUUGUGACGCCAGUCGCAUCGCCGGGUAGCUAUGUUCGGAAGGGAUAACCGCUGAAAGCAUCUAAGCGGGAAGCCUACCUCAAGAUAAGAUUUCCCUAGGACUUUAUGUCCUCUAAAGAGCCGUUCGAGACUAGGACGUUGAUAGGUUGGAUGUGGAAGCAUAGUGAUAUGUGAAGCUGACCAAUACUAAUUGCUCGUGAGGCUUGACUAU